This is a long non-coding RNA of Eupeodes corollae, 3177 nucleotides long. RefSeq lists it as uncharacterized. The record is from RefSeq and is a predicted model, not a curated record. Lineage: Eukaryota; Metazoa; Arthropoda; Insecta; Diptera; Syrphidae. The transcript has 7 exons.
ACCGAUCAGUGUAGCUGGUCUUACUGAUCGUAAGAUCUGGCUCAGGUACUGUGAACAUUUGGGUUCCAAUUAAAAAAUGUGCUGGAGUCAAAGCAUUAAAGUCAUCCGGAUUUUCAGUCAAUGGACAAAGAGGCCUCGAAUUUAAACACGCUUCAAUUUGCGCUAAAAGUGUGGUGAGUUCCUCAAAAGUUAAUGUCCCAUUUCCAACAACUCUUUUGAAGUGGUGUUUGACACUCUUUACACCAGCUUCCCAUAAACCUCCAAAAUGCGGAGAAGCAGGAGGAAUGAAAUUCCACUUUGUUCCUUGUGACGAUAAAACUUCAGCAACAUCUUUCCAGUCAUGAGUGGCAUCUUUCAAAAGACGAUACAAUUCUGUCUCAGCUCCUCUAAAAUUUGUGCCACAAUCGCUGUAAAUCUGACCACAGACUCCUCUUCGUGAUGUGAAACGACGAAAUGCUGCGAGAAAAGCUUGAGUGGUAAGAUCGCUUACCGCUUCUAGAUGAAUGGCCUUUGUUGCUAGGCAAACAAAGAUGGCCAAAUAACCUUUAUAAGUUUUUGCUCCGCGGCCUUUCCAAGCCCGGAUAUUGAUCGGACCGGCAUAAUCAACCCCUGUAUGGGAAAAUGGUCUGGAAGCAGUCACUCUGGGCGAUGGUAACUGUCCCAUUAGUUGAUAAGUUGGUUUAGUCCUAUACCGAUAACAAAUAGUGCAUUUAUGAAGAUAGUGUUUUACUGCUCGUUUGGUUUGAAAAAUCCAAUAUUUUUGCCGUAGAUAACUCAUCAUCAAUUGAAUGCCACCAUGAAGAGUUUUUUCAUGUGCGUCCUGAAGAAUCAGUUUGGUAAAAUGAUGAUUUGGAACCAAAAUGAUUGGAUGCUGUUGAUCAUACGGCAAGUUAGCAUUCUUCAAUCUUCCACCAACACGAAUAACUCCAUCAAGAUCUACGAAAGGGUGUAGAGAUGCCAUGCCUCUGGACUUUAAAAUGCCGUCAGGAAACAUUUCAAGCUGAGCUAAUUUUGCUAAUGUUUUGGCUGCAUCAUGAAGUUCCUUUGGUGAAAUCGGUCCAAUUUUCCAAUUGGAAUAUCUAUGAAUUAAUUCAUUGAUUGGAGGAACAACCUGUUCGAUGUGAUGCGCAUGAAUUUGUGGCUGUGUAGGAUGCUGAAAAUCCCAGACAUUCCGUAAAAAUUCAGGUCCGUUCCACCAUAACUUGUCAUCCAGCAAAGCCGAUGGUAGAACACCUCUGGAAACCAAAUCUGCAGGAUUUUGUUGAGUGGGGAUGUGUUUCCAUAUUUUGACUGUAGUCAGCCGUUGUAUCUCUCCGACUCUAUUCCGAACAAAUGUCUCCCAUUUGGUUGGCGAUGCUUGAAUCCAAGAAAGCUGACAUGAUUCAAUAGUUUGGCCAACAUAACAGCACCACAAAGUUCCAAACGAGGAAGACUCACUGGCUGUACAGGAGCAACUUUAGAUUUGGCGAUAAGGAGUUGCAUUUUCGCCAUUCCUUUAUCGUCUUCGACUCGUAGAUACACUGCUGCUCCGUAUGCUUUCUCCGAGGCGUCACUGAAACCAUGCAGUUCCAAACGAUACAGAUCACCAAUGGUUUGAACCCACCUUGGAAAUUGAAUUUUGUUAAUAAAUUGCAAGUCUUCGUAGAAAGCAUUCCACUGUUCCAGAAGUGACGAUUCAAUUGGUUCAUCCCAUGACAUUUUCUUCACCCACAAUUGCUGCAUGAACAUCUUCGCCUUUACAAUACAUGGAGCAAUCCAACCCAUCGGAUCGAACAGCCGAGCUAUCGUGGAUAGAAUAAAUCGUUUCGUCGGCUGCGGAUUGGAAAGCGAAUUAUAGCAAAAAGAGAAUUUGUCAACAGAAGGAAGCCAAUGGACACCGAGCGUCUUAACUCGUUCCGAAUCUUCUGACGGCAUUGAGAAUGUUGAUUCCCGUUCUCCUGUUGGAAUGCUCGAAAGUAACUCGUCAGAGUUGGAAGUCCAUUUCCCCUCUUCGAUCGUGUUUCCACCAGAUAUCAAAUCAUCGACAUACAUCUCUUCACGGAUCAUAUUGGCUGCUAGUUGAUUUUCGGAAUUGUCCUCUGCUAACUUCUGCAACGUUCGGAUCGCAAGAAAUGGAGCGGCAGCUGUUCCGAAGACAUACUUUGCAGGACAGCUUCGAUUUGUCAGCGUGAGCAUGAGCUACAAAGGAAUGCUUAUGUGAAGAGUUGCGUGACGUGUUGGAUGUACCCUGACAGUGCUGCUGAUCUACCGCUUCUAGUGUUCUGAACCUUGUCUCCAAGAAGGAUGUAAAUUCCUUGAAAGUCGGCAACUGCUUUGGUUUCUCUCUUUCGUUCAGCUUCUCUUCCCACAUUUGCUGUGUCUUGCCAGAUUUGCCAGACUGUGAAUCACUUGUGUUGAAGUGUAUAAUAAAUCUUUAAUCGACUCAACGCGCUCUUGUGACUGUGAUGGCAAAUUGAACAGUGCACUCAACUGGAUAUUGACAAGGACGCGAGGGUGAUCAUAACGAUCUUGCAAAAUCGUCCAUGCUUUCGCAUAAUUAUGGCCGUGAAUCUUCAAGGAUGAAAGCAACUUCUCAGCAUCGCCAGUUAAACUUGUCUUAAGGUAGUGCAUCUUUUGAAUAUCCGAAAGAGAUGGCUUAUUUUCGACAAGCGUCACAAAUAGAUCAUGAAAAUUCGGCCAAGACUCAUAACUUCCAUCGAAAGAAGGGACUUCUUUGGACUGCUGACUGCUACUGCCACCAAGACUUGCCAGCGAAUCCAGGAGUCUUGUUUGAAAAUCGCAGUAUUCUUCUCGAAAAUUUUCAUACACGGUUUCAGCCUCCGGUUGCUUCUUCGCAUCUUCAUCUUCAGCACUUAUAACCUCUUCAUAUAUUGCAGAGACAGAUUCCCACAACUCAUCCAAUAAUUUGAUUCGUGUUUGAACGUAAUUCACAUUAAUAGCUUUUCCUUUUUUACCAAAAUUGUCUAUGUCUUUUUUAAGUUGCUUAUAUUUUGCGCUUAAUUGUUUGCUCGCCAUAUUAAUUUAAUAUAAAAAGUAAUAUAAAAAAGUAAGGAAAUCACUUACUUGUUCUUGUAAAAUGGCGUCUGAGGAAGUUUUGCAGGUUAUCCCUCGUUGACACACUACAAUAAUUUGAUCCGCACACACUUUAAUAAUCUUUGAAAAAAAAUAUCGAUAUUA